This 384-nucleotide ribosomal RNA is filed under the name Boana boans group sp. ABGD cluster 15. RNAcentral describes it as "partial large subunit ribosomal RNA". It matches the Rfam family "Archaeal large subunit ribosomal RNA", at positions 1990 to 2492 of the family's 2987-position model. Lineage: Eukaryota; Metazoa; Chordata; Amphibia; Anura; Hylidae. The record is from RNAcentral.
UGAAAUUAUUCAACGGCCGCGGUAUCCUAACCGUGCGAAGGUAGCGUAAUCACUUGUUCUUUAAAUGAGGACUAGUAUGAAUGGCACCACGAGGGUUCUACUGUCUCCUUUUUUUAAUCAGUGAAACUAAUCUCCCCGUGAAGAAGCGGGGAUCUUUAUAUAAGACGAGAAGACCCUAUGGAGCUUUAAACAACCAACAUUUGCUACACCAUAACAUUUUCCCUAAAAGAAGUAUAGCAUUAUGAUUAUUAGUUUUCGAUUGGGGUGAUCACGGAGUAAAAUAUAACCUCCAUGCCGAAAGGGUUCUUACCCUGAGCAAAAAGCCACAACUUUAAGCACUAAAAAAUUAACGCAGUUUGACCCAAUAUUUUGAUCAACGAACCA